Andrographis paniculata is the source of this 1052-nucleotide RNA transcript. It is a transcript of the gene named sm-like protein LSM7, with no coding region annotated. The record is from RefSeq and is a predicted model, not a curated record. Lineage: Eukaryota; Viridiplantae; Streptophyta; Magnoliopsida; Lamiales; Acanthaceae. The transcript has 6 exons.
CGUAGCGAUUCGGGUAUAUCCGGACCCCUUUCGAUCCCAUGUAAAUUAUUUGACCUGUUUGGCCAAAACCUACGACGUUCUGUUUUUUUCUCGGAGCGGAGCAGCGAGUAGCGAGUGACUCUUGUCGGUCGGCCGGCCGAAGCUAUGUCUGGCAGAAAAGAAACAGUUUUAGAUUUGUCUAAGUUCGUCGACAAAGGUGUUCAAGUCAAGCUUACUGGUGGAAGGCAAGUCACUGGAACACUGAAAGGGUAUGAUCAAUUGCUGAAUCUUGUUUUGGAUGAAGCCGUAGAAUUUCUUAGAGAUCCAGAGGACCCACUGAAGACUACCGAUCAAACCCGCCGCCUUGGGUUAAUUGUCUGCCGAGGAACUGCUGUGAUGCUGGUGUCUCCAACUGAUGGUACAGAUGAAAUUGCCAAUCCAUUUUUGCCUGAUGGAUCAUAGACAGGAUAGGAUAGGAUUGGAUUGGAUUGGAUACCUUGUGCAUCAUCAUCAUCCUCAUCACUCCUGGUUCUUAGUAAUUUCUAUCGGCUUUUGUCUGGAGUUUGCAAGACUUAUUCCCAAUAAUUAUAUAUAUAUUUGAAUGAAUUGUAAUAUACGUUUUUUUGCAAAUUAUUAGUAUAAUAUAUUGUAUUUUUAUAUGGCAAUAAAAAUGAUUAUUUUUGUCAUUAAAAAACAGAAUUUUUUAUUUUUUUAUAUAUAAUAUAAAUAAUUGUAUCUGUUUUAUUUUUUAUUUAUAGUACGAAAUUUACAAAAAAAAAUAAAUAAUAAUAAUAAUAAUAAAUUAUUAUGUAGCCUUUUAAACAGGCUCGUAGGCCAGGCCAGGCUUUUAAAAAGGCCAGGCUCAGGCUUUAAAAAUAUUUUUUUUCAGGCUGGUAGGCCAGGCUCAGGCCAUAUCUUUUUAAGACAGGCCAAGCCUAUUUAACCAAAGUCUGGCCUGGCCUGGCCUAUUUCCACCCCUACUUAAAACUCUCCAUCAACAUUUACCACCUCUGAUACAGAUGCAUUAUAGAGCGAAUUUGAUUGAUUGCCAAAGUGAUUUAGUUUUAUAAUUA